This 1441-nucleotide ribosomal RNA is filed under the name uncultured organism. RNAcentral describes it as "16S ribosomal RNA". It matches the Rfam family "Bacterial small subunit ribosomal RNA". The record is from RNAcentral.
AUGAACGCUAGCUACAGGCUUAACACAUGCAAGUCGAGGGGCAGCAUGGUCUUAGCUUGCUAAGGCCGAUGGCGACCGGCGCACGGGUGAGUAACACGUAUCCAACCUGCCGUCUACUCUUGGACAGCCUUCUGAAAGGAAGAUUAAUACAAGAUGGCAUCAUGAGUCCGCAUGUUCACAUGAUUAAAGGUAUUCCGGUAGACGAUGGGGAUGCGUUCCAUUAGAUAGUAGGCGGGGUAACGGCCCACCUAGUCUUCGAUGGAUAGGGGUUCUGAGAGGAAGGUCCCCCACAUUGGAACUGAGACACGGUCCAAACUCCUACGGGAGGCAGCAGUGAGGAAUAUUGGUCAAUGGGCGAGAGCCUGAACCAGCCAAGUAGCGUGAAGGAUGACUGCCCUAUGGGUUGUAAACUUCUUUUAUAAAGGAAUAAAGUCGGGUAUGCAUACCCGUUUGCAUGUACUUUAUGAAUAAGGAUCGGCUAACUCCGUGCCAGCAGCCGCGGUAAUACGGAGGAUCCGAGCGUUAUCCGGAUUUAUUGGGUUUAAAGGGAGCGUAGAUGGAUGUUUAAGUCAGUUGUGAAAGUUUGCGGCUUCACCGUAAAAUUGCAGUUGAUACUGGAUAUCUUGAGUGCAGGUGAGGCAGGCGGAAAUUCGUGGUGUAGCGGUGAAAUGCUUAGAUAUCACGGAGAACUCCGAUUGCGAAGGCAGCCUGCUAAGCUGCAACUGACAUUGAGGCUCGAAAGUGUGGGUAUCAAACAGGAUUAGAUACCCUGGUAGUCCACACGGUAAACGAUGAAUACUCGCUGUUUGCGAUAUACAGCAAGCGGCCAAGCGAAAGCGUUAAGUAUUCCACCUGGGGAGUACGCCGGCAACGGUGAAACUCAAAGGAAUUGACGGGGGCCCGCACAAGCGGAGGAACAUGUGGUUUAAUUCGAUGAUACGCGAGGAACCUUACCCGGGCUUAAAUUGCAGAUGAAUUACGGUGAAAGCCGUAAGCCGCAAGGCAUCUGUGAAGGUGCUGCAUGGUUGUCGUCAGCUCGUGCCGUGAGGUGUCGGCUUAAGUGCCAUAACGAGCGCAACCCUUGUUGUCAGUUACUAACAGGUUCCGCUGAGGACUCUGACAAGACUGCCAUCGUAAGAUGUGAGGAAGGUGGGGAUGACGUCAAAUCAGCACGGCCCUUACGUCCGGGGCUACACACGUGUUACAAUGGGGGGGUACAGAGGGCCGCUACCACGCGAGUGGAUGCCAAUCCCAAAAACCUCUCUCAGUUCGGACUGGAGUCUGCAACCCGACUCCACGAAGCUGGAUUCGCUAGUAAUCGCGCAUCAGCCACGGCGCGGUGAAUACGUUCCCGGGCCUUGUACACACCGCCCGUCAAGCCAUGGGAGCCGGGGGUACCUGAAGUGCGUAACCGCGAGGAGCGCCCUAGGGUAAAACUGGU